UACGGAGGGAGCUAGCGUUAUUCGGAAUUACUGGGCGUAAAGCGCACGUAGGCGGCUUUGUAAGUUAGAGGUGAAAGCCUGGAGCUCAACUCCAGAAUUGCCUUUGAUACUGCAUGGCUUGAAUCCAGGAGAGGUGAGUGGAAUUCCGAGUGUAGAGGUGAAAUUCGUAGAUAUUCGGAAGAACACCAGUGGCGAAGGCGGCUCACUACACAAUUAUUGACGCUGAGGCACGAAAGCGUGGGGAUCAAACAGG
This 253-nucleotide ribosomal RNA is filed under the name uncultured bacterium. RNAcentral describes it as "partial 16S ribosomal RNA". It matches the Rfam family "Bacterial small subunit ribosomal RNA", at positions 524 to 776 of the family's 1533-position model. The record is from RNAcentral.